This 112-nucleotide ribosomal RNA is filed under the name Pteropus alecto (black flying fox). Lineage: Eukaryota; Metazoa; Chordata; Mammalia; Chiroptera; Pteropodidae. The record is from RNAcentral.
GUCUGUGGCCAUGCUACCCUGAACAAGCCUGAUCCCGUGAUUAGCUAAGCAGGGUCGGGCCUUGUUAGUACUUGAAUGGGAGACCACCUAGGAAGACCAGGUGCUGUAGGAG